Molecule: unclassified non-coding RNA, 1449 nt
Filed under: Hevea brasiliensis (rubber tree)
Lineage: Eukaryota; Viridiplantae; Streptophyta; Magnoliopsida; Malpighiales; Euphorbiaceae
Source: RNAcentral
GAAAUUUGUCAUUUUCUCACUCUCUCUCUCUCUCUAGAACACAGAGUAUGUCCCCAGAGCAACUGCUGCUGUCGCUGCAACUUGCUCCUAAGCUCCUUCUUCUUCUUCUCAAACGCUGUCGUUUCUUUUUCUGCCUGCGAAUGUUGAAUUCGGCCUUACUCUUCAUCUCUCUUCCUAGCACAUUGUGAUCUGGCUCUUUGAUCCAUUCAUUCCGUAUAAUAUAAUAUAUGCACACACUAUAGACAUUCAGGUAUUUUAUUUUCCUUUCCUUUCAAAGUCUGUAGAUUUGAUUCGUUUUCCUUUGUUUUCGAAUUUCUUCGCAUUUUCUCAGCUGCAUUUUUGCAUUUUGAUUUCUUCUUCAAAGAUUCACUUUGCUUUGUUUCAUUUUUUUGUAUAAUUUUUUCAUCCACAUAAUUGAUUUUUAUAUAUAAAUACAGUAAUUGCUAUUUUUGGAAUUUUGAUUUGAAGUGUAAGGAGUUCAGCUGGCAUUACAUUUAGUUGUGGUCUUCGAGUGCUCCUUUAGGUAGAUAGUUUUUCUUGUCUCCUCUUUCUCUUUCUCUCUCUCUUUCCUCUGCUUUCCUUUUCCUCUUUUUCCGUUUGGAUAAUGACAGUGUUUGGUUGAUGGGAAAAUGUGAGGGAAGGAAGGAAGCUAUAAUUCUGAAUCUAGUAUUGUUCAUUUCUGUUGUUUGGUGAGAAUUUGAUUGUUUUAUUAAGUUCAGCUUUUCUAGUCUUCAAUGGUUUGGCUGAUGUGUUUAAUGGCAAAUUUUAGCUUUACAAAUAUUGAAAAUGUGAAAAAAUAUCAAUUUCUUGAUGAUUGACAAUUUGUUUCUUUUGUUGGGUUGGUAGGUUUUCAUUUUUAGUUGGAGGCUGCAUAUCUUCUCACAUUUUGCAGAUAAAAAAGGUUCCUUUCAGAACUCAUAAUGACAAAUUUCUUUUUUUGGCAUUGCAAAAUCUUGGAUUUUCUUUGUAUUUCUUGGCUUUCAGGGGUCUCUCUUUUUCAUUUGUACUUUUAUAAUUCUUCAAAUGACCUGACUUCAUUUUCGUGCUCUUCCUUUCUUCAUCACUAGCUUAUUGUACUUGCAUUUUCUUGAGUAGCUUCACCGAGAUAGCUACGUCCUAUUGUUGUUACCCUUGUAAGCACAUUGUUUUUAUUAGAUGGGUAUCUAUAAUAUGCAGAUUUUGUGAUUUCUUUUUAUGGAGUUAAUGAUUUUUUUCUGUCUUCGUGCAGAAAGGCAAAUCAUUUGAAUCUCUCACAUGGAGCAAUAUGAAAUACUCGAGCAGAUAGGCAAGGGGUCAUUUGGUUCAGCUCUUCUCGUGAGGCAUAAACAUGAAAAGAAGAAAUAUGUGCUAAAAAAGAUUCGCCUAGCCCGGCAGACUGACAGGUCACGGCGAUCUGCGCAUCAAGAGAAGGAGCUCAUUUCUAGAAUACGAAAUCCAUUUAUUGUAGAA